This is a long non-coding RNA of Perognathus longimembris pacificus (Pacific pocket mouse), 386 nucleotides long. RefSeq lists it as uncharacterized. The transcript has 3 exons. The record is from RefSeq and is a predicted model, not a curated record. NCBI's taxonomy places the organism in Eukaryota, Metazoa, Chordata, Mammalia, Rodentia, Heteromyidae.
AAAGGACAGAGAGAAGAGGCCAUGAGAGCCUGCAGGAUGGUGGAGGCAGGCUGGGUCAGGAUAAAGAGGGAAGGAGUGGCCAGAGGACAGGGCACACAGAAUCAGACAGUCUGGGUAUCUACAAUACCUGGCCUAGACGAACCACACAAGACCAACACACUCCUGGAGAAGAGAGCCAGUAAGCCUCCAUCCACUCUUACAUGUUUGAUGAAGAAAUUAGAAAAGGAAAUGGAAAUCAGGGUGAAAGCACCUCGCAGGAAAGGCCAAGUGUGUUUGAGCCGUCUGUCCGUGCACAGGCGCCUGAACGGGGCAGCUUCCUCUGCUCUGAGGAGCAUGAACGGAGGGCCUCACAGAGCCUGGGGGGGUAGGUGCUUCCCUCCCCAGGG